RNAcentral lists this signal recognition particle RNA (99 nucleotides) under Bacteroidota bacterium. RNAcentral describes it as "Bacteroidetes bacterium signal recognition particle sRNA small type". It matches the Rfam family "Bacteroidales small SRP". Rfam says of the family: The non-coding component of the signal recognition particle in Bacteroides Lineage: Bacteria; Pseudomonadati; Bacteroidota. RNAcentral also lists the same sequence under 1 other name. The record is from RNAcentral.
GGGCAAGUCCUACACGACCAGCUCGGUUUGAACCCCGCCAGGGCCGGAAGGCAGCAACGGUAGAACUUUGAGCGGUGCGAUGUGGGUCGCUUGCCCAUU